This 253-nucleotide ribosomal RNA is filed under the name uncultured bacterium. RNAcentral's name for it is "partial 16S ribosomal RNA". It matches the Rfam family "Bacterial small subunit ribosomal RNA", at positions 524 to 776 of the family's 1533-position model. The record is from RNAcentral.
UACAGAGGGUGCGAGCGUUAAUCGGAAUAACUGGGCGUAAAGGGUGCGUAGGCGGACCGUUAAGUCAGAUGUGAAAGCCCUGGGCUCAACCUGGGAAUGGCAUUUGAAACUGGCAGUCUAGAGUAAAGAAGAGGAGAGUGGAAUUUCAGGUGUAGCGGUGAAAUGCGUAGAUAUCUGAAGGAACACCAGUGGCGAAGGCGACUCUCUGGUCUUUUACUGACGCUGAGGCACGAAAGCGUGGGGAGCAAACAGG